RNAcentral lists this long non-coding RNA (1400 nucleotides) under Gallus gallus (chicken). Its description in RNAcentral is "lncRNA (ENSGALG00010023976.1)". Lineage: Eukaryota; Metazoa; Chordata; Aves; Galliformes; Phasianidae. The record is from RNAcentral.
GCCUGCAUCGGCAAGGUCAGUCAAGCAUCCCUCCAAAGCCUCCAGCUUCAGUUCUGUUUCUUCAAGCACGCAAGCUCCAGCUCACAGAGGAAGGCGCAUAGGAAUGGAGACUGAUUUAACCUCUACCGCAUUAGAGAAGAGGAGGAAUCUGGCAGAUGUCCUACAAAUGUCACUGACAAGAAAAAGAAAAGGCUAAAGGCUCUGCUGGAGUGACUCCAUUGACUGCCAUGGCUUCCCUGGGCUUCAAUUUGCAAAACAGACAGAAGAGAAAACCCUUCCUCCACCCCUCUCCCCCGCCGUUGCCGAAAGUGACAUCUGUGCGGUGCUGCGGGAAAGAUUACACAUCUUGGCCUUGAUUUUCUCCCUCUGCCGCUCCCAACUUGCUCGUGCCCACUCUCGUAACAGCAACCUUUAGCAAGGAGGAGCACCCAGCCCUCCCCUGGGCCCAUGCUCUGAGCCGCCACGAGGCAGGGCAGGCACGCUUUGCCUCGCCAGCCCUCCUUCCCGCUCCCCCACCGCCCCUGGACCCUUUUCUCUCCCAGAAAAAUCCAUGCAUUUAUUUCCAAUUAGAAACCACACCACAUAACACAAUCGUAAUUGCUUAAAAGUUGUUCCACAUUUGAUUCGCAUGCAUUAUGCAUCCUGUAAAUUAUGUACGACCUCGGCUCUCUUUUUUCUUUGAGGCGUAUUAUUGUAGGUUCCCUCUGUCGAUAUAAGGAUAGUUUUUACAGUCAGAAUCAAAACCUAAUUCAUUUACAAUACCUGUCUCCCGAGGAUCACAACAUAAUGACAUUGGAACAGUAAAAAGACUACGCAGGGUUUGCACUUCAAUCACAGCUGCUCCAUAAAGAAAAGAAACUUACAGAAACCACCAAGAGAGCCGGUGAUUUAUAUCCAGUCGGAUACAAUAUAGCUGAAGAUGACUUUCUUGCUUAAACAAGGAGGGAAAAAAUGAACUCAUAUGUAUGAUGUAAAUAGACUUAACCAUGGGUGGCUGUGGUUUACUAUAAAUAUUCAAUUCAUUAUGGCUGCGGAGACGUACGGCUCCUACUGCGUGCCGGUGUUCUCGCCCCUGUCUGUCACCCGCUCGUGUUUGUCAUAAGCCAGAACCCUCUUUAUUGUCCCCCCACACACACACACAUCUUUUUCACAGAUCCAGGAAUCAACACAUUUGGGAAUUUCCAUCGGAGCUCGGGACCUCUUAACGGCGAAGAUCUCAUUGAGGGAGGCUUUUCAGCAAUGGAAAAAACCAUAGGCCUGCGAGUUUGGAUCCCGUGAUGCAUUGCUGCUUGAAGUUGCAUCUGCUCUUCUCUUUCAUCUCUCCUCUUGUUAACUGGGAGCUGUCACAUUAGGAGGAAUGGUCUCGGGGUCACACCAGUGUAUUUUGUUACAAGAAGGAG